GUAAAACCCGAUAUUUUUGAAUACUUAGAUUUUUCACAACAUUUAAGGAGUGGUGAUACCAAAAUUGAUUUUUUUAAAUUAAUGGAACAUGAGUAUCGUUAAUUGUAUGACGGUACGGCGCGCAUCGUUUUAUUAGUGCUUUACUACCAUCAUCGUACCUGAACUUAAAAAUUGAAUAUUUCGUUAACGGGAAGACAGAAAUCAAUAAUUUUGACACCGACAUUUAUUUACAGUAAUACUCCG
This is a non-coding RNA of Cinara cedri, 243 nucleotides long. The record is from the annotation of a GenBank genome assembly. Lineage: Eukaryota; Metazoa; Arthropoda; Insecta; Hemiptera; Aphididae.